GAAUUCGAUUCAGGCAUAACACAUGCAAGUCGUACGAGAGUUUCUGACUCUGGUGGCGGACGGGUGAGUAACACGUGAGAAUCUGCCCUAAGGAGGGGGAUAACAGCUGGAAACGGUUGCUAAUACCCCAUAUGCCGAAAGGUAAAAGGAUGUAUCCACCUUAGGAAGAGCUCGCGCCUGAUUAGCUAGUUGGUGAGGUAACGGCUCACCAAGGCCAUGAUCAGUAGCUGGUUUGAGAGGAGGAUCAGCCACACUGGGACUGAGACACGGCCCAGACUCCUACGGGAGGCAGCAGUGGGGAAUUUU
Molecule: ribosomal RNA, 306 nt
Filed under: uncultured bacterium
Lineage: Bacteria
Description: bacterial SSU rRNA
Rfam family: Bacterial small subunit ribosomal RNA
Source: RNAcentral